UGGAAAGCGUCGCCAUAGACCGUGACAGCCGGGUAGGAGACAGGGCCGUGACCCGAUCUGAUGCUCUUGAGUAGCGCCGAACACGAGCAAUUCGGCGUGAAGCUGGGGGGCCCACCUCCCAAGGCUACAUACACGCAGUGACCGAUAGCGCACAGUACCGUGAGGGAAAGGUGAAAAGUACCCCGGAGAGGGGAGUGAAAUAGAUCCUGAAACCGUCUGCUUCCGUGCAGUCGAAGGGGUAGGGCGUAAGCCACCCUGACGGCGUGCCUUUUGGAGUAUGAUCCGACGAGUUACCCUCAGUGGCCGGUUAAGCCAGUCAUAGGCGGAGCCACAGCGAAAGCGAGUGUGAAUAGCGCGUGUGUCGCUGGGGGUAGACCCGAAACCGCUUGAGCUAUCCAUGGUCAGGCUGAAGCGUCCGUAACAGGACGUGGAGGGCCGAACCGGUGUAGGUUACAAACUGCUCGGAUGAACUGUGGAUAGGGGUGAAAUGCCAAUCGAAAGCGGAGAUAGCUGGUUCUCCCCGAAAUGCAUUGAGGUGCAGCCCGGAUGUAGGGGCUGCCUGAGGUAGAGCACUGUUGUUGUGCGGGGGCUUCACCGCCUACCAAGCGACGGCAAACUCCGAAUGCAGGCAGCACACCACCGGAGUGAGACAGUGGGCGCAAACGUUCAUUGUCAAAAGGGAAACAACCCAGACCUGCAGCUAAGGUCCCGAAAUCCAUGCUGAGUGGCAAAGGAUGUGUCGUUGCACAAACAACCAGGAGGUUGGCUUAGAAGCAGCCACCCUUGAAAGAGUGCGUAACAGCUCACUGGUCGAGUGACGGCGCGCCGAUAAUCCAGCGGGGCAAAGCUUGGUACCGAAGCUCAGGAUGCAGCCAUUUUUGGCUGCGUGGUAGGGGAGCGUCGGCAGGCCGGCGAAGCGGCAGCGGAAGCCAGCCGUGGAGGCCUGUCGAGUGCGAAUGUCGGAACGAGUAACAGAGAAGUGGAGUGCGAACCUCCACCACCGGAAGCCUAAGGGUUCCGCCGCAAGGGUGAUCCGCGGCGGGUUAGUCGGGCCUAAGGGGCGCCUCAGCAGGCGUGCACCGAUGGACAACGGGUCGAUAUUCCCGUACUAGCGUGUAGUCGUUUGACCAGAGCCGGAUGCUGAUGGGGAGCUGCUGCGGCGAGACGUGCGCCGUCCAAGCUGGUAGGGAGAGGCUGGUUCAUCCCAGUCUCGUUGACCGAGAGGCGAGAGCGAGGGCAGGUGGCAACACCGCGCCCAAGAGCGGGGCACCUAGGCAGUCGAGAAAGGCCGGCGCGGGAGACUACUGCUACCCGUACCGCAAACCGACACAGGUAGGCUGGCUGAGCAAGCUAAGGUGGACGAGUGAUCUCGGGUUAAGGAACUCGGCAAUUUGACCCCGUACCUUUGGUAGAAGGGGUGCUCCUGGCGGUGACGGCGCUUGCGGCUCGAGCGGCUGGGAGUGGCAGCAAAGCGGCCCAGGCGACUGGAUAACAGAACCACAGGUCCCUGCUAAAGUCGUAAGACGACGUAUAGGGGCUGAUGCCUGCCCAGUGCUGGAAGGUUAAGGGGAGGGGUUGACGCCUCGAACCGAAGCCCCAGUAAACGGCGGCUGUAACUAUAACGGUCCUAAGGUAGCGAAAUUCCUUGUCGGGUAAGUUCCGACCCGCGCGAAAGGCAUCACGAUCUGGGCGGUGUCUCAACCCGAGGCUCGGUGAAACUGCGAUCACGGUUAGGACGCCGUGAACCCGUAGCAGGACAAAAAGACCCCAUGGAGCUUUACUACAGCUUGCCAUUGGAUGCGGUCCACGGCUGCGUAGCAUAGGUGGGAGCCUAGGAGGCCGCCCUUGCGGGGGCGGCGGAGGCAGCAGUGAAAUACCACUCUGUCGUGGAUUGCGUCCUCACAUGUUUGACACAUGGACCGUGGCUGGUGGGUAGUUUGUCUGGGGCGGAUGCCUCCCAAAAGGUAACGGAGGCGCGCAAUGGUUCCCUCACGCGGGAUGGCAACCCGCGGUUGAGUGCAAAGGCACAAGGGAGCUUGACUGCAAGGCAAACAGGCCGCGCAGAGACGAAAGUCGGCCUUAGUGAUCCUACGGCCCGGAGUG
Molecule: ribosomal RNA, 2103 nt
Filed under: wastewater metagenome
Description: bacterial LSU rRNA
Rfam family: Bacterial large subunit ribosomal RNA
Source: RNAcentral